AAGUAGCAUUUGAAGAUUGAAAUUUAGAAGGAGAACGUAUUGAGUUUUUUAACACCGACUUUGACCCUACCGUUCGUCACACCGUGUGGAACUUAAUCUUUGGAGGAAGCUUUUUAUUGCUAACUAGAUUCGGAGUUGACCAAGUCCUGGUGCAACGUUAUCUAAACACACCUUCCCUGAAGGCUGCUCGCUAACGAUAUGGAUCAACCUUCUUGGCGGGUUUAUUAUUAUAACAGCUUCAUGCCUUGCCGGACUUAUUAUUUACAGUAGAUAUCACGAAUGUGACCCCAUCACCGCUGGACUUGUCAAUGCCCCGGAU
Limulus polyphemus (Atlantic horseshoe crab) is the source of this 319-nucleotide long non-coding RNA. RefSeq lists it as uncharacterized. The record is from RefSeq and is a predicted model, not a curated record. Lineage: Eukaryota; Metazoa; Arthropoda; Merostomata; Xiphosura; Limulidae. The transcript is spliced from 3 exons.